CACGUAGUUAGCCGGGGCUUUCUUCUCCUAUACCGUCACACAACAGGCAGUUACUCCUGCUGCUGUUCGUCUAGGGCAACAGAGCUUUACGAUCCGAAAACCUUCAUCACUCACGCGGCGUUGCUCCGUCAGACUUGCGUCCAUUGCGGAAGAUUCCCUACUGCUGCCUCCCGUAGGAGUCUGGGCCGUGUCUCAGUCCCAGUGUGGCCGUUCACCCUCUCAGGUCGGCUACGCAUCGUCGCCUUGGUGAGCCGUUACCUCACCAACUAGCUAAUGCGCCGCAGGCCCAUCUAUAAGCCACAGAUUACUCCGUGUUUCAUGAUCCUCUCAUGCGAGAAAACCAGUUAUCCGGUCUUAGCUAUCGUUUCCGAUAGUUAUCCCAGUCUUAUAGGCAGGUUGCCUACGUGUUACUCACCCGUCCGCCGCUAAGCACCGAAGUGCUCCGCUCGACUUGCAUGUAUUAGGCACGCCGCCAGCGUG
RNAcentral lists this ribosomal RNA (480 nucleotides) under uncultured Paenibacillus sp. Its description in RNAcentral is "partial 16S ribosomal RNA". The record is from RNAcentral. Lineage: Bacteria; Bacillati; Bacillota; Bacilli; Caryophanales; Paenibacillaceae.